CCUACGGGAGGCAGCAGUGGGGAAUAUUGCACAAUGGGGGAAACCCUGAUGCAGCGACGCCGCGUGAGUGAAGAAGUAUUUCGGUACGUAAAGCUCUAUCAGCAGGGAAGAAAAUGACGGUACCUGACUAAGAAGCCCCGGCUAACUACGUGCCAGCAGCCGCGGUAAUACGUAGGGGGCAAGCGUUAUCCGGAUUUACUGGGUGUAAAGGGAGCGUAGACGGCAGCGCAAGUCUGGAGUGAAAUCCCAUGGCUUAACCAUGGAACUGCUUUGGAAACUGUGCAGCUAGAGUGCAGGAGAGGUAAGCGGAAUUCCUAGUGUAGCGGUGAAAUGCGUAGAUAUUAGGAGAAACACCAGUGGCGAAGGCGGCUUACUGGACUGUAACUGACGUUGAGGCUCGAAAGCGUGGGGAGCAAACAGGAUUAGAUACCCCAGUAGUC
Molecule: ribosomal RNA, 440 nt
Filed under: uncultured bacterium
Lineage: Bacteria
Description: partial 16S ribosomal RNA
Rfam family: Bacterial small subunit ribosomal RNA
Source: RNAcentral